RNAcentral lists this ribosomal RNA (479 nucleotides) under uncultured bacterium. RNAcentral describes it as "bacterial SSU rRNA". It matches the Rfam family "Bacterial small subunit ribosomal RNA", at positions 356 to 831 of the family's 1533-position model. The record is from RNAcentral.
GAGGAAUAUUGGUCAAUGGACGAGAGUCUGAACCAGCCAAGUAGCGUGAAGGAUGACUGCCAUAUGGGUUGUAAACUUCUUUUAUACGGGAAUAAAGUGAGGCACGUGUGCCUUUUUGUAUGUACCGUAUGAAUAAGGAUCGGCUAACUCCGUGCCAGCAGCCGCGGUAAUACGGAGGAUCCGAGCGUUAUCCGGAUUUAUUGGGUUUAAAGGGAGCGUAGGCGGACGCUUAAGUCAGUUGUGAAAGUUUGCGGCUCAACCGUAAAAUUGCAGUUGAUACUGGGUGUCUUGAGUACAGUAGAGGCAGGCGGAAUUCGUGGUGUAGCGGUGAAAUGCUUAGAUAUCACGAAGAACUCCGAUUGCGAAGGCAGCCUGCUGGACUGUAACUGACGCUGAUGCUCGAAAGUGUGGGUAUCAAACAGGAUUAGAUACCCUGGUAGUCCCACACAGUAAACGAUGAAUACUCGCUGUUUGCGCAC